Molecule: ribosomal RNA, 491 nt
Filed under: uncultured bacterium
Lineage: Bacteria
Description: partial 16S ribosomal RNA
Rfam family: Bacterial small subunit ribosomal RNA
Source: RNAcentral
GUGAACGCUGGCGAUAGGCCUAACACAUGCAAGUCGAACGGCAGCACAGUAAGAGCUUGCUCUUACGGGUGGCGAGUGGCGGGCGGGUGAGGAAUACAUCGGAAUCUACUUUUUCGUGGGGGAUAACGUAGGGAAACUUACGCUAAUACCGCAUACGACCUACGGGUGAAAGCAGGGGAUCUUCGGACCUUGCGCGAUUGAAUGAGCCGAUGUCGGAUUAGCUAGUUGGCGGGGUAAAGGCCCACCAAGGCGACGAUCCGUAGCUGGUCUGAGAGGAUGAUCAGCCACACUGGAACUGAGACACGGUCCAGACUCCUACGGGAGGCAGCAGUGGGGAAUAUUGGACAAUGGGCGCAAGCCUGAUCCAGCCAUACCGCGUGGGUGAAGAAGGCCUUCGGGUUGUAAAGCCCUUUUGUUGGGAAAGAAAAGCAGCAGGUUAAUACCCCGCUGUUCUGACGGUACCCAAAGAAUAAGCACCGGCUAACUUCGUG